This 405-nucleotide ribosomal RNA is filed under the name uncultured bacterium. RNAcentral describes it as "partial 16S ribosomal RNA". It matches the Rfam family "Bacterial small subunit ribosomal RNA", at positions 28 to 526 of the family's 1533-position model. The record is from RNAcentral.
GACGAACGCUGGCGGCGUGCUUAACACAUGCAAGUCGAGCGGAGCGGCGAACGGGUGGGUAACGCGUGAGUAACUGCCCCCCUCUCUGGGAUAACAGUUGGAAACGGCUGCUAAUACCGGAUAGUGGGGGUUGACUCGCGUCCUAUCGGCUUGUUGGUGGGGUAGUGGCCUACCAAGGCGACGACGGGUAGCCCGCCUGAGAGGGCGACCGGCCACAUGGGGCUGAGGUACGGCCCAAACGCGUACGGGGGGCAGCAGGGGGGAAGAUUGCACAAGGGGGGAAACCCGGAUGCAGCAGCGCCGCGGGCGGGAUGACGGCCUUCGGGGUGUAAACCGUUUUCAGCCAUGACGCGGUAGUGGCAGAAGAAGCACCGGCUAACUACGUGCCAGCAGCCGCGGUAAUUC